RNAcentral lists this ribosomal RNA (438 nucleotides) under uncultured bacterium. Its description in RNAcentral is "partial 16S ribosomal RNA". It matches the Rfam family "Bacterial small subunit ribosomal RNA", at positions 339 to 795 of the family's 1533-position model. The record is from RNAcentral.
CUACGGGUUGCUCCAGUGGGGAAUAUUGCACAAUGGGCGAAAGCCUGAUGCAGCAACGCCGCGUGAGUGAUGAAGGUUUUCGGAUCGUAAAACUCUGUUCUAAGGGAAGAUAAUGACGGUACCUUAGGAGAAAGCCCCGGCUAACUACGUGCCAGCAGCCGCGGUAAUACGUAGGGGGCAAGCGUUAUCCGGAAUUACUGGGCGUAAAGGGUGCGUAGGUGGCCUGACAAGUCAGGGGUCAAAGGCAACGGCUCAACCGUUGUAAGCCCUUGAAACUGUCGGGCUUGAGUUCAGGAGAGGAAAGCGGAAUUCCAAGUGUAGCGGUGAAAUGCGUAGAUAUUUGGAGGAACACCAGUGGCGAAGGCGGCUUUCUGGACUGAUACUGACACUGAGGCACGAAAGCGUGGGGAGCAAACAGGAUUAGAUACCCCCGUAGUC